RNAcentral lists this transfer RNA (60 nucleotides) under Ophiosteira antarctica. RNAcentral's name for it is "tRNA-Ile". The record is from RNAcentral. Lineage: Eukaryota; Metazoa; Echinodermata; Ophiuroidea; Amphilepidida; Ophiuridae.
AAGGAAGGGAAAGAUAGCCGAUAACUAUCUUUUAGCUAGUUCAAGCCUAGCUCUAUCUUU